This 100-nucleotide non-coding RNA is filed under the name Wolbachia endosymbiont of Aleurodicus floccissimus. The record is from RNAcentral. Lineage: Bacteria; Pseudomonadati; Pseudomonadota; Alphaproteobacteria; Rickettsiales; Anaplasmataceae.
UGGAGCCGUGUGCGGGAAAUCUGCAUGCACGGUUCUUUUGGGGGGACCAUGAUUAGGAAACCAAAUCGCUGAUUUUCAAGAUUAUGAGUCUCUACCAGAC